GCUCUGACCCGCGACUCAUCACAGAUCUGUGUUCUUGUUUGUAAUCGUAUCUGUGUGUCACGAUCUGAUGUGGAUUAGCAGCGAGUACAAAAUAAAAGUAUAUUUAUAUCUCAAUCUGUCCAUCUGUCACUGGGGAUCUGCCUUCCUGCUUUUUAAUGAGCGUCUGCGCUAAGUGCGGAUCUUCGUCUCGGCGCUAACGUGUCAUGCCUGUUAUUUAUUUCAGAAGAGCAGAUGGAAGGAGAGCGAGGGCGAGGAGAGGAGGAGGUAAAGUUCGGCGCACUUCCUGUUGAUCUGCGGGCCGGAAGCGGCGUGACGGGAGCAGCUGUAGGGUCGCUCUGUGCUGCUGAACGGCGGUGUGGCAGCGAGGAUCUGGAACACUUUGAUUAUUGAGGAAGAAGAGGAGUGCGGAUCAAACGGACCGCUGUGAGCAAAGAUAAACCCAGAAAUCCCUCACCGAGGAGCGUGAACUCUCCUUAACAUUGUUUAUGUCGACUUCAUCGCCCGAGCUGAGGAGCUGCUCCAGAGACACCACUGAAGAAUAUCUGGAGGAUGAGGAAGUGUGCUGAGGUGUCGCUCUGUACAUCUGGAGUUUCUUUCUGCCACGCUGUCUGAUUCUGAGACACGACACGCACCUCGCACCCCGACUCGUCUUCCUGCCCGAGACACAGGCGAGGAACCAGAAGCCAAACUGAAGAGUUUAGAAGUCAGACGGAGGAAAACUUUUCGUUUUGAUUCCUCCUUCUGCCCUGGACAUGAACCUGAAAAACUCUGAAUUCCUCUGUCACAUGAGUGAAGAACCGAAGAAGAAACACAAAGAGAGAGAGAGAGAGAGAGAGAGAGAGAGAGAGAGAGGAUGGAAAAUAAUCUCAUAUAGCUUGAAAUCUCUUUGGAUAUUUUUAAAGCCUGGUUUCAAAAACAUAUUCACGGCUGGGAAUUCAGUUCAGAGCUGCUGCAGGAUGAUAGAAGGAGGACGGUGAUUAGCGUGAAGAAAGUCUGUGUGUGUGUGUGUCUGAGACUCUCCUCUGCAUCUCACCCUGAAGCAUGCAGUUGUGUCUGUUACAUGUCUCUAAGAGCAGCGUCCAGCUCACAACAAGGUGGCGUUAAUCUGCGCUAAUUUCUUGCUAUAAGCCUCCUGACCACCAGGAGGAGCCAUGAUUUUUACACACGUGCAAAAAAAACGUUCAUGUUUGCAGAAAAGCUUCACAAGCGGUUCACAAAGAAACCUGCGAUCACGUGGAAUGUUUAUAUCUGUUUAACGUGACAUGAACGCUAAUGAAUUAAUUGGGUUUAGAUGCUAAUUUAUCCACUUUAUCACUCCGGCUUGUUUAGGUAAGUGAGGUAUAAAAAGUUCCUGGCUAUUGUGGUGCUGUAAGGUGAUAUUUUGGGGGCGUGGCCAGGGCUAGAA
Molecule: long non-coding RNA, 1405 nt
Organism: Hemibagrus wyckioides
Lineage: Eukaryota; Metazoa; Chordata; Actinopteri; Siluriformes; Bagridae
Exons: 3
Source: RefSeq, a predicted model, not a curated record